This 245-nucleotide ribosomal RNA is filed under the name uncultured bacterium. RNAcentral's name for it is "partial 16S ribosomal RNA". It matches the Rfam family "Bacterial small subunit ribosomal RNA", at positions 532 to 776 of the family's 1533-position model. The record is from RNAcentral.
GUGCGAGCGUUGUUCGGAAUCACUGGGCGUAAAGGGCGUGUAGGCGGUCCGCUAAGUCUGAUGUGAAAGCCCGGGGCUCACCCCCGGAAGGGCAUUGGAAACUGGCGGACUCGAGUCCCGGAGAGGAAGGUGGAAUUCCUGGUGUAGCGGUGAAAUGCGUAGAUAUCAGGAGGAAUACCGGUGGCGAAGGCGGCCUUCUGGACGGUGACUGACGCUGAGACGCGAAAGCGUGGGGAGCAAACAGG